Molecule: ribosomal RNA, 334 nt
Filed under: uncultured eukaryote
Lineage: Eukaryota
Description: partial 18S ribosomal RNA
Rfam family: Eukaryotic small subunit ribosomal RNA
Source: RNAcentral
CCCUUAGAUGUCCGGGGCCGCACGCGCGCUACACUGAAGGAAUCAGCGUGGCUUUCUCCCUGACCCGAAAGGGUUGGGAAACCCGUUGAAUCUCCUUCGUGAUAGGGAUUGGGGCUUGAAAUUGUUUCCCAUGAACGAGGAAUUCCCAGUAAGCGCGAGUCAUAAGCUCGCGUUGAUUACGUCCCUGCCCUUUGUACACACCGCCCGUCGCUACUACCGAUUGAACGGUUUAGUGAGGGCCUCGGAUUGGUCUCGGCCCGCUCUUUACCGGGCGGCGCCGUUGGUCGAGAAGACGCUCGAACUUGAUCGUUUAGAGGAAGUAAAAGUCGUAACA